RNAcentral lists this ribosomal RNA (253 nucleotides) under uncultured bacterium. RNAcentral describes it as "partial 16S ribosomal RNA". It matches the Rfam family "Bacterial small subunit ribosomal RNA", at positions 524 to 776 of the family's 1533-position model. The record is from RNAcentral.
GACAGAGGUGCCGAGCGUUAGGCGGAAUCACUGGGCUUAAAGCGUGUGUAGGUGGAUGCCUAAGUACCUUGUGAAAUCCCACGGCUUAACCGUGGAACUGCUUGGUAUACUGGGUGUCUUGAGCCAGCUAGGGGCUACCGGAACAAAUGGUGGAGCGGUGAAAUGCGUAGAUAUCAUUUGGAACGCCAAUGGUGAAAACAGGUAGCUGGACCGGUACUGACGCUGAUGCGCGAAAGCGUGGGGAGCAAACAGG